This is an RNA transcript of Polyodon spathula (Mississippi paddlefish), 1397 nucleotides long. It is a transcript of the gene named AP-1 complex subunit sigma-2-like, with no coding region annotated. Lineage: Eukaryota; Metazoa; Chordata; Actinopteri; Acipenseriformes; Polyodontidae. The record is from RefSeq and is a predicted model, not a curated record. The transcript has 7 exons.
GCGUCAUCCAUCUACAAGGAAGAGGGGAGAUAGAGAGGGGAGGUGCAUUGUGCAGAUAAAAUUAUUAUUAUUUUUUUUUAGAUCAGCGUGUGUUUUCUCCCAGGCUGCUAUAAAUAAAGGUUAUGAUGCAGUUCAUGCUGCUUUUCAGUCGCCAGGGGAAGCUGAGGCUCCAGAAGUGGUAUGUUCCACUGUCGGACAAAGAGAAGAAAAAGAUCACCAGGGAACUCGUGCAGACAGUAUUGGCUCGGAAACCCAAAAUGUGCAGCUUCCUGGAGUGGCGCGACCUCAAGAUUGUUUACAAAAGGUACGCUAGCUUGUACUUCUGCUGUGCAAUUGAAGAUCAGGAUAAUGAGCUCAUAACUCUUGAGAUAAUUCACCGAUACGUAGAGCUGCUGGAUAAGUAUUUUGGCAGUGUGUGUGAACUUGACAUAAUCUUUAACUUCGAAAAGGCAUACUUCAUCCUAGAUGAGUUCCUGCUGGGUGGUGAAGCUCAGGAGACCUCGAAGAAAAACGUCUUGAAAGCCAUCGAGCAGGCAGACCUGUUGCAGGAGAGCCAGAAUGAAGACUGGGGAGGUUUAUCAACUGACGAUGUCUUAUAACUGGGAGAGAUCUGAGGCUUUGACCUCUUAUGCUCCCCAUCCCCCAUCCAGACUAUUGGAUGCUAAAGAAACUGAGACCCAACGCAGUGUUCUUGAAGAGAUUGGACUGACAUAACCCUGCACUUCCAUCCCAACACACUCUUUGUUUACUGCCUUUGUUUCCAUGUAACGCUAGCUGUAUUAUGGUUGUCAGUAUUAACAUCCAUCUCGCCCACUACUGUUAUUUCUUAUGUAGUAUACAUGAGAUUGUAUUUCCCCACAAGAUUAUUAUGAGGAAGAAAGCGAUUACCAGAAGAUCAAAAAUGGUUCAACAUCUAUUUUUCAGAUUUUUAAUUUUUUUUUUAAAUACUGCCUUAAGAUAGUUGAAUAGGAUUAGAUGGGUUUUUUAUGUUUAAUAUGUGUCUGUCGUUAUUUUGAGUAUAGUGUGAUUGCACCUUAAGAACAGAAUAACUGACUGCACUUAAUUUCUAAGGGUCACUGUAAUUCAGGAUAAGAAGGGCUACGUGUUCUUGAUUUCAGCAGCUUUUUAAAAUUAAAUACACAUAUACUUUCAGUUGUUUAGUAUUGUGCUUUUCACUUGUAGGCUUUCUUAAAGGAAAUGGAUUCAAGGUUUUCAAAAUUAAAAAUGCUGUUUUAGGACCACCAUCAGUUUUCAAAUGUAUUGGUACUAUAUUGGUUAGUGUAGGAGAAAACAGGUAUUUCAGGGCAUGUUAAGGGUUUACAACCAACAAACACUGUGCUAGUAUUUAAUUAUUAUUAUUAUGCAUUUGUUUUUUAGAACUGUAAUACGAAAAUAAA